Molecule: ribosomal RNA, 1361 nt
Filed under: uncultured bacterium
Lineage: Bacteria
Description: bacterial SSU rRNA
Rfam family: Bacterial small subunit ribosomal RNA
Source: RNAcentral
AUUGAACGCUCGCGGCAGGCCUAACACAUGCAAGUCGAGCGGUAGCACAGAGAGCUUGCUCUCGGGUGACGAGCGGCGGACGGGUGAGUAAUGUCUGGGAAACUGCCUGAUGGAGGGGGAUAACUACUGGAAACGGUAGCUAAUACCGCAUAAUGUCGCAAGACCAAAGUGGGGGACCUUCGGGCCUCAUGCCAUCAGAUGUGCCCAGAUGGGAUUAGCUAGUAGGUGGGGUAACGGCUCACCUAGGCGACGAUCCCUAGCUGGUCUGAGAGGAUGACCAGCCACACUGGAACUGAGACACGGUCCAGACUCCUACGGGAGGCAGCAGUGGGGAAUAUUGCACAAUGGGCGCAAGCCUGAUGCAGCCAUGCCGCGUGUGUGAAGAAGGCCUUCGGGUUGUAAAGCACUUUCAGCGGGGAGGAAGGCGGUGAGGUUAAUAACCUCAUCGAUUGACGUUACCCGCAGAAGAAGCACCGGCUAACUCCGUGCCAGCAGCCGCGGUAAUACGGAGGGUGCAAGCGUUAAUCGGAAUUACUGGGCGUAAAGCGCACGCAGGCGGUCUGUCAAGUCGGAUGUGAAAUCCCCGGGCUCAACCUGGGAACUGCAUUCGAAACUGGCAGGCUAGAGUCUUGUAGAGGGGGGUAGAAUUCCAGGUGUAGCGGUGAAAUGCGUAGAGAUCUGGAGGAAUACCGGUGGCGAAGGCGGCCCCCUGGACAAAGACUGACGCUCAGGUGCGAAAGCGUGGGGAGCAAACAGGAUUAGAUACCCUGGUAGUCCACGCCGUAAACGAUGUCGAUUUGGAGGUUGUGCCCUUGAGGCGUGGCUUCCGGAGCUAACGCGUUAAAUCGACCGCCUGGGGAGUACGGCCGCAAGGUUAAAACUCAAAUGAAUUGACGGGGGCCCGCACAAGCGGUGGAGCAUGUGGUUUAAUUCGAUGCAACGCGAAGAACCUUACCUGGUCUUGACAUCCACAGAACUUUCCAGAGAUGGAUUGGUGCCUUCGGGAACUGUGAGACAGGUGCUGCAUGGCUGUCGUCAGCUCGUGUUGUGAAAUGUUGGGUUAAGUCCCGCAACGAGCGCAACCCUUAUCCUUUGUUGCCAGCGGUUAGGCCGGGAACUCAAAGGAGACUGCCAGUGAUAAACUGGAGGAAGGUGGGGAUGACGUCAAGUCAUCAUGGCCCUUACGACCAGGGCUACACACGUGCUACAAUGGCAUAUACAAAGAGAAGCGACCUCGCGAGAGCAAGCGGACCUCAUAAAGUAUGUCGUAGUCCGGAUUGGAGUCUGCAACUCGACUCCAUGAAGUCGGAAUCGCUAGUAAUCGUAGAUCAGAAUGCUACGGUGAAUACGUUCCCGGGCCU